This 254-nucleotide ribosomal RNA is filed under the name uncultured bacterium. RNAcentral describes it as "partial 16S ribosomal RNA". It matches the Rfam family "Bacterial small subunit ribosomal RNA", at positions 524 to 776 of the family's 1533-position model. The record is from RNAcentral.
UACGGAGGGUGCGAGCGUUGUCCGGAAUCAUUGGGCGUAAAGGGCGCGUAGGUGGCCCGGUCAGUUCGUGGUGAAAGCGCGGGGCUCAACCCUGCGUCGGCCAUGAAUACUGCCGCGGCUGGAGCACUGUAGAGGCAGGCGGAAUUCCGGGUGUAGCGGUGGAAUGCGUAGAGAUCCGGAAGAACACCGGUGGCGAAGGCGGCCUGCUGGGCAGUUGCUGACACUGAGACACGAAGGCCAGGGGAGCAAACGGG